AUAAUGCAAGUCGAACGAACUUUCAUACACCGAAUGCUUGCAUUCACCGUAAGAAGUUGAGUGGCGGACGGGUGAGUAACACGUGGGUAACCUGCCUAAAAGAAGGGGAUAACACUUGGAAACAGGUGCUAAUACCGUAUAUCUCUAAGGAUCGCAUGAUCCUUAGAUGAAAGAUGGUUCUGCUAUCGCUUUUAGAUGGACCCGCGGCGUAUUAACUAGUUGGUGGGGUAACGGCCUACCAAGGUGAUGAUACGUAGCCGAACUGAGAGGUUGAUCGGCCACAUUGGGACUGAGACACGGCCCAAACUCCUACGGGAGGCAGCAGUAGGGAAUCUUCCACAAUGGACGCAAGUCUGAUGGAGCAACGCCGCGUGAGUGAAGAAGGUCUUCGGAUCGUAAAACUCUGUUGUUAGAGAAGAACACGAGUGAGAGUAACUGUUCAUUCGAUGACGGUAUCUAACCAGCAAGUCACGGCUAACUACGUGCCAGCAGCCGCGGUAAUACGUAGGUGGCAAGCGUUGUCCGGAUUUAUUGGGCGUAAAGGGAACGCAGGCGGUCUUUUAAGUCUGAUGUGAAAGCCUUCGGCUUAACCGGAGUAGUGCAUUGGAAACUGGAAGACUUGAGUGCAGAAGAGGAGAGUGGAACUCCAUGUGUAGCGGUGAAAUGCGUAGAUAUAUGGAAGAACACCAGUGGCGAAAGCGGCUCUCUGGUCUGUAACUGACGCUGAGGUUCGAAAGCGUGGGUAGCAAACAGGAUUAGAUACCCUGGUAGUCCACGCCGUAAACGAUGAAUGCUAGGUGUUGGAGGGUUUCCGCCCUUCAGUGCCGCAGCUAACGCAAUAAGCAUUCCGCCUGGGGAGUACGACCGCAAGGUUGAAACUCAAAGGAAUUGACGGGGGCGCGCACAAGCGGUGGAGCAUGUGGUUUAAUUCGAAGCAACGCGAAGAACCUUACCAGGUCUUGACAUCCUUUGACCACCUAAGAGAUUAGGUUUUCCCUUCGGGACAAAGUGACAGGUGGUGCAUGGCUGUCGUCAGCUCGUGUCGUGAGAAGUUUGGGUAAGUCCCGCACGAGCGCAACCCUUGUUGUCAGUUGCCAGCAUUAAGUUGGGCACUCUGGCGAGACUGCCGGUGACAAACCGGAGGAAGGUGGGGACGACGUCAAGUCAUCAUGCCCCUUAUGACCUGGGCUACACACGUGCUACAAUGGACGGUACAACGAGUCGCGAGACCGCGAGGCUUAGCUAAUCUCUUAAAGCCGUUCUCAGUUCGGAUUGUAGGCUGCAACUCGCCUACAUGAAGUCGGAAUCGCUAGUAAUCGCGAAUCAGCAUGUCGCGGUGAAUACGUUCCCGGGCCUUGUACACACCGCCCGUCACACCAUGAGAGUUUGUAACACCCAAAGCCGGUAGAGUAACCGCAAGGAGCCAGCCGUUCCG
RNAcentral lists this ribosomal RNA (1435 nucleotides) under Ligilactobacillus salivarius. RNAcentral's name for it is "bacterial SSU rRNA". It matches the Rfam family "Bacterial small subunit ribosomal RNA". Lineage: Bacteria; Bacillati; Bacillota; Bacilli; Lactobacillales; Lactobacillaceae. The record is from RNAcentral.